Molecule: non-coding RNA, 206 nt
Organism: Oryza meridionalis
Lineage: Eukaryota; Viridiplantae; Streptophyta; Magnoliopsida; Poales; Poaceae
Source: Rfam
AGGAAAGUAAACCUCAGGUUUCCGUGUUCAACGUUUGACUGUCCGUUUUAUAUGAAAUUUUUUUAUAAUUAGUAUUUUUAUUGAUGUUAGAUGAUAAACAAUGAUUAAUACUUUAUACGUGACUUUUCUUUUAAUUUUUUUUAUAAUUGUUUUAAAUAAGACGGACGGUCAAACGUUGGACACAGAAAACCAGGGUUUGUCUUUUU